RNAcentral lists this small nuclear RNA (277 nucleotides) under Felis catus (domestic cat). Its description in RNAcentral is "7SK RNA". It matches the Rfam family "7SK RNA", at positions 1 to 291 of the family's 331-position model. Rfam says of the family: 7SK was discovered as an abundant small nuclear RNA in the mid-70s but a possible function has only recently been suggested. The record is from Rfam by way of RNAcentral. Lineage: Eukaryota; Metazoa; Chordata; Mammalia; Carnivora; Felidae.
CAAUGUGAGGGCGAUCUGGCUGCGACAUCUGUCACCCCAUUGAUCGCCAGGGUUGAUUUGGCUGAUCUGCCUGGCUAGGCGGGUGUCCCCUUCCUCCCUCACAGCUCCAUGUGCGUCUCUCCCGAAGCUGCACGAUCCGUUGAAGAGGACGACCUUCCCCGAUAGAGGAGGACCGUUCUUCGGUCAAGGGUAUACAAGUAGCUGCGCUCCCCUGCUAGAACCUCCAAACAAGCUCUCAAGUUGCCAAAACAGGUGUUUAUUCCAUAACUAUAACCAG